This 611-nucleotide ribosomal RNA is filed under the name uncultured crenarchaeote. RNAcentral's name for it is "bacterial SSU rRNA". It matches the Rfam family "Archaeal small subunit ribosomal RNA", at positions 309 to 922 of the family's 1478-position model. The record is from RNAcentral. Lineage: Archaea; Thermoproteati; Thermoproteota.
GCCCUUGCCAGGCCCUACGGGGCGCAGCAGGCGCGAAAAUUUCGCAAUGCGCGAAAGCGCGACGGAGUUACCCCAAGUGCCACCCGCUAAGGGUGGCUUUUGCCUAGUGUAAAUAGCUAGGCGAAUAAGGGGAGGGCAAGUCUGGUGUCAGCCGCCGCGGUAAUACCAGCUCCCCGAGUGAUGGGGACGAUUAUUGAGCCUAAAGCGUCCGUAGCCGGCUCGGCACGUCCUCGGUUAAAUCUGGCGAUCCAAUCGCUAGGCCGCUGGGGAUACUACCGAGCUAGGGGGCGGGAAAGGCCAGCGGUACUCCCAGGGUAGGGGUGAAAUCCGUUAAUCCUGGGAAGACCACCAGUGGCGAAGGCGGCUGGCUAGACCGCGCCCGACGGUGAUGGACGAAAGCUAGGGGAGCGAACCGGAUUAGAUACCCGGGUAGUCCUAGCCGUAAACGAUGCGGGCUAGGUGUUGGAGUAGCCGCGAGCUACUCCAGUGCCGUAGGAAAGCCGUUAAGCCCGCCGCUUGGGGAGUACGGCCGCAAGGCUGAAACUUAAAGGAAUUGGCGGGGGGGCACCACAAGGGGUGAAGCCUGCGGUUCAAUUGGAGUCAACGCCGGA